RNAcentral lists this ribosomal RNA (381 nucleotides) under uncultured archaeon. Its description in RNAcentral is "bacterial SSU rRNA". It matches the Rfam family "Archaeal small subunit ribosomal RNA", at positions 473 to 853 of the family's 1478-position model. The record is from RNAcentral.
ACACCGGCAGCUCUAGUGGUAGCUAUUUUUAUUGGGCCUAAAGCGUCCGUAGCCGGUUUAAUAAGUCUCUGGUGAAAUCUUGCAGCUUAACUGUGAGAAUUGCUGGAGAUACUAUUAGACUUGAGAUCGGGAGAGGUUAGAGGUACUCCCAGGGUAGAGGUGAAAUUCUGUAAUCCUGGGAGGACCGCCUGUGGCGAAGGCGUCUGACUGGAACGAUUCUGACGGUGAGGGACGAAAGCUAGGGGCGCGAACCGGAUUAGAUACCCGGGUAGUCCUAGCUGUAAACGAUGCGGACUUGGUGUUGGGAUGGCUUUGAGCUGUUCCAGUGCCGAAGGGAAGCUGUUAAGUCCGCCGCCUGGGAAGUACGGUCGCAAGACUGAA